AACAAAAAAGAAAUCAGGGGCAUUCCGAGAAUUGAACUGGGGACCUCUCGCACCCUAAGCAAGAAUCAUACCACUAGACCAAAUGCCCUUCGAUGUUCUGUUUUCCGAAAGUAA
RNAcentral lists this transfer RNA (114 nucleotides) under Triticum aestivum (bread wheat). RNAcentral describes it as "partial small subunit ribosomal RNA". Lineage: Eukaryota; Viridiplantae; Streptophyta; Magnoliopsida; Poales; Poaceae. The record is from RNAcentral.